GGAUGUGGCGCAGCCUGGUAGCGCGCCUGCUUUGGGAGCAGGAUGUCGCAGGUUCGAAUCCUGUCAUCC
This 69-nucleotide transfer RNA is filed under the name Paraeggerthella hongkongensis. It matches the Rfam family "tRNA". From Rfam's summary of the family: Transfer RNA (tRNA) molecules are approximately 80 nucleotides in length. Their secondary structure includes four short double-helical elements and three loops (D, anti-codon, and T loops). The record is from RNAcentral. RNAcentral also lists the same sequence under 1 other name. Lineage: Bacteria; Bacillati; Actinomycetota; Coriobacteriia; Eggerthellales; Eggerthellaceae.